UUCCUCGGGUUCAUCAGACCAGGUUCAGUCUUCCUCUGGCGUUGGUGUGUGUUCCUUCAUCUCCGGCCAAAAACACCAAAUUUAAGAUCACUGUGGAUACCAACCAGCCUCCGAUUGAGCUCAGCUCCAUCUUCCCAGAGUUUGCAGCAAAAUCUGAAGAUAAGGAUGCUAACGGUUUGGCUUUCCAGUUCCUGUCAGGAGCCAAAGUCACCGUUCUGGCCUCUAAGACUUCCCAGCGUUACCGUCUUCAGAGCGACACUUUUGAGGACAUCUGGUUGGUGGUGAAGGAGCUGGUCCAGAGAUUUGACAAACAUUUCCACAAACUGGGAGUCAAAGACUUUAAGAAAAGCUUCAGUGGGCCGCUCCCGCUGCAGGACUACUUCCUGUCUGUAGACCAGCACUUCCAGCUGCGUGUCGGUGCUCAGCAGUACCAGGACCUGCUGUCAGAGC
This is a non-coding RNA of Labrus bergylta (ballan wrasse), 450 nucleotides long. The record is from RefSeq and is a predicted model, not a curated record. NCBI's taxonomy places the organism in Eukaryota, Metazoa, Chordata, Actinopteri, Labriformes, Labridae.